Molecule: ribosomal RNA, 253 nt
Filed under: uncultured bacterium
Lineage: Bacteria
Description: partial 16S ribosomal RNA
Rfam family: Bacterial small subunit ribosomal RNA
Source: RNAcentral
UACGUAGGGGCCAAGCGUUGUCCGGAUUUAUUGGGCGUAAAGAGCUCGUAGGCGGUUGGGUAAGUCGGGUGUGAAAUCUCGGAGCUUAACUCCGAAACUGCAUUCGAUACUGCCGUGCUUGAGGACUGGAGAGGAGACUGGAAUUUACGGUGUAGCGGUGAAAUGCGUAGAUAUCGUAAGGAAGACCAGUGGCGAAGGCGGGUCUCUGGACAGUUCCUGACGCUGAGGCACGAAGGUCAGGGGAGCAAACGGG